RNAcentral lists this transfer-messenger RNA (404 nucleotides) under bovine gut metagenome. It matches the Rfam family "transfer-messenger RNA". Rfam says of the family: Bacterial tmRNA, also known as 10Sa RNA or SsrA, is named for its dual tRNA and mRNA-like properties. Its role is to liberate the mRNA from a stalled ribosome. The record is from RNAcentral.
GGGGCUGACUUGGCUUUGACAGCGUGUAGAGGUGGUAAGCAAGCAUGCAGAGCGAUGAUGGCAAUGCUCUUGAAUAUCAGUCAUCACUAAAUUUUAAAUGGCGAAAACAACUACGCUCUCGCUGCCUGAUCGAAGUAUAGUAGAUCCGCUUUAUCGGCACUGAACAGAUAGUGUCGACGAGACAUCACCCGGUAGCCCUUUCUGCGAGGCUCAUCGAACCGGUGGUGCACGCAAAUCGGAGAUAGAGUGCCGCUCGCCUCGCGUUGCGCUCGAAAAUUUAGAGGCUAAGCCGCAUGUUGGUGGUCGAGAGCCUGCCUGCGGUCGAAAAACAAGUCACGACUAAGCAUGUAGAAAACUUAUCAGUUCCGCGUUUGGACGAGGGUUCAACCCCCUCCAGCUCCACA